GGGGGUUUAGCUCAGCUGGUAGAGCAUCUGAUUUGCAUUCAGAAGGUCAGGAGUUCGAACCUCCUAGCCUCCA
Molecule: transfer RNA, 73 nt
Filed under: Candidatus Rhabdochlamydia porcellionis
Lineage: Bacteria; Pseudomonadati; Chlamydiota; Chlamydiia; Parachlamydiales; Candidatus Rhabdochlamydiaceae
Also listed under: 2 other names
Description: tRNA-Ala
Rfam family: tRNA
About the family: Transfer RNA (tRNA) molecules are approximately 80 nucleotides in length. Their secondary structure includes four short double-helical elements and three loops (D, anti-codon, and T loops).
Source: RNAcentral